UUUCCCUCCUCCGAAUUUCUUCGUACAUUUCUUCCAUUUCCACACGGAGGUAUGCCCGAUCAAUUGGAAUCUCAUGGAUGAAUCUCCUCGAAGCCUUGGCAUUAAAUUCUUCCUUUGCCAGUUCUGAUACGAACCGGGAUUCAUCAUAAGUAGGCUGCUGGGACGUGCCCGCCGCUCUCUUUUGCUUCUUGUAUUACCUGCAAGGAAUCAGAAGAACCAUCAAAUAUGUCCUAACUAGUGCCAGUUGGAUGGGUACUCAGACUUAGCCACCCGAAGACACCAAAACAAUAACCCCUUCCCCCCUUGAAUUCAUCCUUGCAAACUAGCCCAACUAGCAGGGUGUUAAAGGUCACAACCUCCACAGAGGCCCGCACAACAGUACUACUCACAAAAUUCGGCCUACAACACCCCACACUUACUCUUUCAAGUAUUUCACCUCAAUUACAACACCACCAUUCACCUCCAAAUUAUCAAAACAACUCCCUCAAUUGAAACACCAUGAAGACCCACCCAUUUUAACACCAAACAAGUGUACAAGAAUCUCAUACAACAAUAGAAACAAACAAAAGAAGAAAAAUUUUACAAAAAAUAAACUAAUCCUACCUAGGGUUAAGCUAAAUUAAUAUAUUCUAAUUACACUACUUAGAAGAGGAAAUAGAGAAAGAAUAAGAGAAAACUUACUUGCUUGUAAAAGGGAAGGGGUGGGUAGUGGUUGGAGGAUGUUGGGGAAGAUGAUAAUGGAGUUGGAGAGUGGAUGGAGGGUUUGGGUUUAGAGAGAAGAAGAGAGUUU
This 790-nucleotide long non-coding RNA is filed under the name Nicotiana benthamiana. Its description in RNAcentral is "long non-coding RNA (NBEN_LNC012064)". The record is from RNAcentral. Lineage: Eukaryota; Viridiplantae; Streptophyta; Magnoliopsida; Solanales; Solanaceae.